This 378-nucleotide ribosomal RNA is filed under the name uncultured Thelephoraceae. RNAcentral's name for it is "eukaryotic LSU rRNA". It matches the Rfam family "Eukaryotic large subunit ribosomal RNA", at positions 1 to 370 of the family's 3401-position model. Lineage: Eukaryota; Fungi; Basidiomycota; Agaricomycetes; Thelephorales; Thelephoraceae. The record is from RNAcentral.
UUGAUCUCAAAUCAGGUAGGACUACCCGCUGAACUUAAGCAUAUCAAUAAGCGGAGGAAAAGAAACUAACAAGGAUUCCCCUAGUAACUGCGAGUGAAGCGGGAAGAGCUCAAAUUUAAAAUCUGGCGUGCCUCUGGUCGUCCGAGUUGUAGUCUGGAGAAGCGUCUUCCGUGUUGGACCGUGUAUAAGUCCCUUGGAACAGGGCGUCAUAGAGGGUGAGAAUCCCGUCUUUGACACGGACUACCAAUGCUUUGUGAUGCGCUCUCAAAGAGUCGAGUUGUUUGGGAAUGCAGCUCAAAAUGGGUGGUAAAUUCCAUCUAAAGCUAAAUAUAGGCGAGAGACCGAUAGCGAACAAGUACCGUGAGGGAAAGAUGAAAA